GACGAACGCUGGCGGCGUGCUUAACACAUGCAAGUCGAACGGAAAGGCCCUGCUUUUGUGGGGUGCUCGAGUGGCGAACGGGUGAGUAACACGUGAGUAACCUGCCCUUGACUUUGGGAUAACUUCAGGAAACUGGGGCUAAUACCGGAUAGGAGCUCCUGCUGCAUGGUGGGGGUUGGAAAGUUUCGGCGGUUGGGGAUGGACUCGCGGCUUAUCAGCUUGUUGGUGGGGUAGUGGCUUACCAAGGCUUUGACGGGUAGCCGGCCUGGGAGGGUGACCGGCCACAUUGGGACUGAGAUACGGCCCAGACUCCUACGGGAGGCAGCAGUGGGGAAUAUUGCACAAUGGGCGGAAGCCUGAUGCAGCAACGCCGCGUGCGGGAUGACGGCCUUCGGGUUGUAAACCGCUUUCGCCUGUGACGAAGCGUGAGUGACGGUAAUGGGUAAAGAAGCACCGGCUAGCUACGUG
Molecule: ribosomal RNA, 468 nt
Filed under: uncultured bacterium
Lineage: Bacteria
Description: partial 16S ribosomal RNA
Rfam family: Bacterial small subunit ribosomal RNA
Source: RNAcentral